AAAGACCUUCGUGUCUAUCACGCUGAGUGUAAUAAAGUUCCUACUGGUUUAUGUACGUUUUUGAGCACUGUCUUUGAUGUAUUCACUGAUGAUGUCAACAUAUGUGUGAGAACGAAUCCUGGCACACAUAUGCGAUGCAUUCGGUUUUAUCCAGAAACCGGGUGUGACAACCGUGCACCAACAAUGGUGACAACGCCAAUAAGGACAGUGACCGGGGCAGACGCAGG
Molecule: long non-coding RNA, 227 nt
Filed under: Setaria italica (foxtail millet)
Lineage: Eukaryota; Viridiplantae; Streptophyta; Magnoliopsida; Poales; Poaceae
Description: long non-coding RNA (SITA_LNC002457)
Source: RNAcentral